UACAGAGGGUGCGAGCGUUGUUCGGAAUUAUUGGGCGCAAAGGGCGCGUAGGCGGUGCGGUAAGUCACCUGUGAAAUCUCCUGGCUCAACUGGGAGCUUGCAGGCGAAACUGCCGUGCUGGAGUGUGGGAGAGGUGAGUGGAAUUCCCGGUGUAGCGGUGGAAUGCGUAGAGAUCGGGAAGAAUACCCGUGGCGAAGGCGGCCAGCUGGGCCAGGUCCGACACUGAGGCGCGAAAGCGUGGGGAGCAAACAGG
Molecule: ribosomal RNA, 253 nt
Filed under: uncultured bacterium
Lineage: Bacteria
Description: partial 16S ribosomal RNA
Rfam family: Bacterial small subunit ribosomal RNA
Source: RNAcentral